UUGGGAAUAUUGCACAAUGGGGGUAACCCUGAUGCAGCAAUGCCGCGUGAGUGAAGAAGGUCUUCGGAUCGUAAAGCUCUUUCGAUAGUGAAGAAAGGAAACUUGACGGUAGCUAUAGAAGAAGCACCGGCUAACUUCGUGCCAGCAGCCGCGGUAAUACGAAGGGUGCAAGCGUUGUUCGGAAUCAUUGGGCGUAAAGCGCGUGUAGGCGGCUAUGUAAGUCGGACGUGAAAUCCCGGGGCUCAACCCC
RNAcentral lists this ribosomal RNA (250 nucleotides) under uncultured bacterium. RNAcentral's name for it is "partial 16S ribosomal RNA". It matches the Rfam family "Bacterial small subunit ribosomal RNA", at positions 355 to 616 of the family's 1533-position model. The record is from RNAcentral.